AUUGUAGCAAAGUUUUUUUUGGUGGUGGCAUUAAUCGAUUUAAACAGCAUACAGUAGGAGUAAAAGGUGAAGUUGAGUCUUGUUUAAAGGUGCCUUCUGAUGUUCACUAUCAAAUGAAGCAAAAUUUAGAUGAUUUUGCUGCCAAAAAAAGAAGAAGUCAAGAAAUUUUUUAUGAAUAAAAUCCAUUUGGUCCACGCUACAGAGAAUACGAGGAGGAUAUUUAUAGAGAAAGAAACACUGGUGAUGAUGAUAUUCAAGAAAUUCCCUCAUAUACUAAGUACACUUCUAGUUCUUAAGGUUGAGGGAGAGGUAUUCAUCACAGCGUAGGGAGAUCUACUGGAAGUAAAAGAGUGAAAGAGUCUGUUGGAAUUGGUUCCUACUUCAUGCCUAGAAUAACUCCUGGU
RNAcentral lists this unclassified non-coding RNA (404 nucleotides) under Hevea brasiliensis (rubber tree). The record is from RNAcentral. Lineage: Eukaryota; Viridiplantae; Streptophyta; Magnoliopsida; Malpighiales; Euphorbiaceae.